GAUGAACGCUGGCGGCGUGCCUAACACAUGCAAGUCGAACGGACCAAGUUUACUUGGUUAGUGGCGGACGGGUGCGUAACACGUAGGUGACCUGCCCUGGAGUGGGGAAUAAUCCCGCGAAAGCGGGACUAAUACCGCAUAUGCUGGUGGAUUCAGUUCCUUCAGUAAAGCAGCAAUGCGCUUUGGGAUGGGCCUGCGGCGGAUUAGCUAGUUGGUGGGGUAACGGCCUACCAAGGCGAUGAUCCGUAGGGGGCGUGAGAGCGUGACCCCCCACAUGGGCACUGAGACACGGGCCAAACUCCUACGGGAGGCAGCAGUGAGGAAUAUUGCACAAUGGGCGACAGCCUGAUGCAGCAACGCCGCGUGAGGGACGAAGGCCUUCGGGUCGUAAACCUCUUUUCUGAGGGACGAGACAGGACGGUACCUCAGGAAUAAGUCUCGGCUAACUACGUGCCAGCCGCCGCAGUAAUAC
RNAcentral lists this ribosomal RNA (472 nucleotides) under uncultured bacterium. Its description in RNAcentral is "bacterial SSU rRNA". It matches the Rfam family "Bacterial small subunit ribosomal RNA", at positions 28 to 526 of the family's 1533-position model. The record is from RNAcentral.